Molecule: ribosomal RNA, 253 nt
Filed under: uncultured bacterium
Lineage: Bacteria
Description: partial 16S ribosomal RNA
Rfam family: Bacterial small subunit ribosomal RNA
Source: RNAcentral
GACGAACCGUGCGAACGUUAUUCGGAAUCACUGGGCUUAAAGCGUGUGUAGGCGGAUCGUUAAGUGCCUUGUGAAAUCCCACGGCUUAACUGUGGAACGGCUGGGCAUACUGGCGGUCUUGAGCCAUCUAGGGGUGACUGGAACAAACGGUGGAGCGGUGAAAUGCGUAGAUAUCGUUUGGAACGCCAAUGGUGAAAACAGGUCGCUGGGGAUGAGCUGACGCUGAGACACGAAAGCCAGGGGAGCAAACGGG